Long non-coding RNA from Gambusia affinis (western mosquitofish), 978 nucleotides. RefSeq lists it as uncharacterized. The transcript has 3 exons. NCBI's taxonomy places the organism in Eukaryota, Metazoa, Chordata, Actinopteri, Cyprinodontiformes, Poeciliidae. The record is from RefSeq and is a predicted model, not a curated record.
CACCAACUACAACCGCUGAACCACCAACUACAACUGCAGCACCAACAACUACAACCGCUGCACCAACAACUACAGCUGCAGCACCAAUAGCUACAACUGCAGCACCAACAACUGCUGCACCAACAACAGCCACUCCAACAACUACAAUUUCAGCCCCAACAACUACAACCUUGUUAUCAUCUACAUCUGCAGCUCCUCCUACUGGUCAAACUUCUAACGGUUUGGAGUAUCUGGCUCAUCUAAACAUGAAGUUAAUAUCUUAUGGAGAGAUCAGCAAUGCAACCCUAGUUCAUCUCAUUGAACAGUUUUUCGGAGACCAGCUUCUUAACGGAACCGCCCACAAGGUGACGGUACGAAGCAUUCAACGGGUUAGAGUUAACCCCUAGACAAAUACAGCACCUACACAACCUGUUCUCUGUUAUUUAACCACUAUAUCAAUAUAUUGGAAACAAUAACUGUUAAUGACAUUUAUAAUAUUUGCUUAUUUUAAAUAUUAACAUUUUGUAAAUUUAGGUCAGAAAACCUUCCCCCAGUCUAAAACAGUUAGAAAUUAUUUUUGUUUCAAUGUCAGAGUCCGGAACAGAAAAUCUGAGUUUUAAUCAGUUUAUAAAUAACCUGCUUUCUGGAAAACCUUUAUGAAAUACCGUUUGUAUAGUUUGUGUAGAUUCAACGUAACUUUUCUGAACUCAAUGAUUUUGAUUUUCACAAUUGACUAUGCAAAGUGUAAAAAUGUGUCUUAGAAUAAAAAUGUGACAAAGAAUUAUAUACAUUUUCUAAUCAAAUGUUUAUUUUUUUAUUGUUUUUCUGCAGUCUAAUUUAGUUGAGUUUAUUUUUGCUGAUGUAGAAUCAUUUUAAAACUCAUUUUGAACUAAAUUGUUUUUGUUGAUUACUUCAUAAUAUUUAUUCUAAUAUACAUUUUGAUUGUAUUUUAAUCUUUUCAGCUUUGUAGUUAAAGUACAAUUAAAGAAUUUGUGUGAA